GGUUGUGGCUCAGUGGAAGAGCACUUGCCUAGCAUGUGUGAGACACUGGGUUUGAUCCUCAGCACCA
Molecule: transfer RNA, 67 nt
Filed under: Marmota monax (woodchuck)
Lineage: Eukaryota; Metazoa; Chordata; Mammalia; Rodentia; Sciuridae
Description: tRNA.Ala
Source: RNAcentral